UGGAAAAAAAUUCGUAACUCUCUUCACCAUAUCCUCCCAAAUCUUCAAAAUACCAUAUCUCCUUCAUUUCAAGUCCGAAUUGAGCGAUUCUUGCGGCCACGGAACGAGAAAAUGAUUUUCUACUGAUCUAUGGCUUCAAUUUGAGAUCGGACGAGCGACUAUCGACGAGGCUUGAGAAAAAAAAAACGGAUCGAGAUAUCGUCAUGCUUAUUUGAAGAGUUUGGAUAGCAAGUGGGAUAGUAUGAUAUGAUUUGAAGAGUCAAGCUUCCGAAAUUUUAAUUCUCGGAAGUCAUCUGUACAAGAAGAAAAGAAGGUUUUCAUUCUAGCAGUCCGCAGUAGUCUAGAUAUUUUAACUAGAAUUUUGUAUAACGCGUUUUAACUCUGAUAUUAUUUGUAAAUGGUGUCACAUGUAUUUUAAUAUAUGAAAUAUGUUUUGAUU
This is a long non-coding RNA of Mercurialis annua (annual mercury), 439 nucleotides long. RefSeq lists it as uncharacterized. Lineage: Eukaryota; Viridiplantae; Streptophyta; Magnoliopsida; Malpighiales; Euphorbiaceae. The transcript has 3 exons. The record is from RefSeq and is a predicted model, not a curated record.